UACGUAGGGGGCAAGCGUUGUCCGGAUUGACUGGGCGUAAAGGGUGCGUAGGCGGUUUGGUAAGUUAAAUGUGAAAGCCUGUAGCUCAACUACAGAAUUGCAUUUGAUACUGCUAGGCUUGAGCCCGGGAGAGGCGAGUGGAAUUCCUAGUGUAGCGGUGGAAUGCGUAGAUAUUAGGAGGAACACCAGUGGCGAAGGCGGCUUGCUAGAACGAUACUGACGCUGAGGCACGAAAGCGUGGGGAGCAAAC
This 250-nucleotide ribosomal RNA is filed under the name uncultured prokaryote. RNAcentral's name for it is "partial 16S ribosomal RNA". It matches the Rfam family "Bacterial small subunit ribosomal RNA", at positions 524 to 773 of the family's 1533-position model. The record is from RNAcentral.